UGGGCAACCUGCCCCUGACACUGGGAUAAACCCCCGGGGAAACCGGAGCUAAUACCGGAUACUCUCGGCCGAUCACAUGGCUGGCCGAGGAAAGGUCCGCCGGUCAGGGAUGGGCCCGCGGCCUAUCAGCUUGUUGGCGAGGUAACGGCUCACCAAGGCGACGACGGGUAGCUGGUCUGAGAGGAUGGCCAGCCACAUUGGGACUGAGAUACGGCCCAGACCUCCGUACGGGAGCA
Molecule: ribosomal RNA, 236 nt
Filed under: uncultured bacterium
Lineage: Bacteria
Description: partial 16S ribosomal RNA
Rfam family: Bacterial small subunit ribosomal RNA
Source: RNAcentral